Molecule: ribosomal RNA, 870 nt
Filed under: Staphylococcus warneri
Lineage: Bacteria; Bacillati; Bacillota; Bacilli; Caryophanales; Staphylococcaceae
Description: bacterial SSU rRNA
Rfam family: Bacterial small subunit ribosomal RNA
Source: RNAcentral
GAGCGAACAGAUAAGGAGCUUGCUCCUUUGACGUUAGCGGCGGACGGGUGAGUAACACGUGGAUAACCUACCUAUAAGACUGGGAUAACUUCGGGAAACCGGAGCUAAUACCGGAUAACAUAUUGAACCGCAUGGUUCAAUAGUGAAAGGCGGCUUUGCUGUCACUUAUAGAUGGAUCCGCGCCGUAUUAGCUAGUUGGUAAGGUAACGGCUUACCAAGGCAACGAUACGUAGCCGACCUGAGAGGGUGAUCGGCCACACUGGAACUGAGACACGGUCCAGACUCCUACGGGAGGCAGCAGUAGGGAAUCUUCCGCAAUGGGCGAAAGCCUGACGGAGCAACGCCGCGUGAGUGAUGAAGGUCUUCGGAUCGUAAAACUCUGUUAUCAGGGAAGAACAAAUGUGUAAGUAACUGUGCACAUCUUGACGGUACCUGAUCAGAAAGCCACGGCUAACUACGUGCCAGCAGCCGCGGUAAUACGUAGGUGGCAAGCGUUAUCCGGAAUUAUUGGGCGUAAAGCGCGCGUAGGCGGUUUUUUAAGUCUGAUGUGAAAGCCCACGGCUCAACCGUGGAGGGUCAUUGGAAACUGGAAAACUUGAGUGCAGAAGAGGAAAGUGGAAUUCCAUGUGUAGCGGUGAAAUGCGCAGAGAUAUGGAGGAACACCAGUGGCGAAGGCGACUUUCUGGUCUGUAACUGACGCUGAUGUGCGAAAGCGUGGGGAUCAAACAGGAUUAGAUACCCUGGUAGUCCACGCCGUAAACGAUGAGUGCUAAGUGUUAGGGGGUUUCCGCCCCUUAGUGCUGCAGCUAACGCAUUAAGCACUCCGCCUGGGGAGUACGACCGCAAGGUUGAAACUCAAAGGAAUUGACG